CCACACCAAAAAACUUUCCACGUGAACCGUAAUAAUUAUGUUCUGUGCCUUCUUUCGGGAGGGCUGAACGAAGGUGGAUAGUGGCGUAUUUAAUUAUUAAUUUAGUUAUUUGUGCURCAGUCUGCCGAUGCUUUUUAAACCCAUUACUUAAUACUGAUCUAUACUCCGAGAACGAAAGUUUUUGGUUUUAAUCCAUAACAACUUUCAGCAGUGGAUGUCUAGGCUCGCACAUCGAUGAAGAACGCUGCGAACUGCGAUACGUAAUGCGAAUUGCAGAAUUCAGUGAGUCAUCGAAAUUUUGAACGCACAUUGCACUUUCGGGAUAUUCCUGGAAGUAUGCUUGUAUCAGUGUCCGUACAUCAAACUUGUCUUUCUUUUUUUGUGUAGUCAAGGAGAGAAAUGGCCGACUGUGAGGUGUCUCGCUGGCUCCCUCUUCGGAGGAGAAGACGCGAGUCCCUUUAAAUGUACGUUCGCUCUUUCUUGUGUCUAUGAGAAGUGUGACUUGUGAACGCAUUGAUCUGUUUGGAUCGUUUUGCGCGAGCGGGCGACUUCGGUUAGGACGUAAAGGAAGCAACCUCUAUUGGCGGUAUGUUAGGCUUCGGCCCGACGUUGCAGCUGACUGUGGUUGUUUUUCUGUUCUUUCCUUGAGGUGUACCUGUUUGUGUGAGGCAUUUUCUAAGCAAAUGGUUAUUGUUAGUAUCUAGUUGCUGCUCAUGGACGCUCUGUUCGCAGAGUAGAGAAGGCAACGCCAAUUUGGGACUAGUCUACGAAUGUGGUAUUCAAUUACAAUGUUUGUUGGCGCUUUUCAAUUUGGACCUGAUAUCAAGUAAGACUACCCGCUGAACUUAAG
This 850-nucleotide ribosomal RNA is filed under the name Pythium vanterpoolii. RNAcentral describes it as "eukaryotic LSU rRNA". The stretch from base 200 to 354 matches the Rfam family "5.8S ribosomal RNA". Lineage: Eukaryota; Oomycota; Peronosporomycetes; Pythiales; Pythiaceae. The record is from RNAcentral.